CGUGUAGGUGGUCAGGUAAGUCAGAUGUGAAAGCCUUCUGCUUAACAGAAGAAGUGCAUUUGAAACUGCUUGGCUAGAGUACGGGAGAGGAGAGUGGAAUUCCCGGUGUAGAGGUGAAAUUCGUAGAUAUCGGGAGGAACACCAGUGGCGAAGGCGGCUCUCUGGUCCGAUACUGACGCUGAGACGCGAAAGCGUGGGGAGCAAACAGGAUUAGAUACCCUGGUAGUCCACGCCGUAAACGAUGGGCACUAGGUGUAGGAGGUAUUGACCCCUUCUGUGCCGAAGCUAACGCAUUAAGUGCCCCGCCUGGGGGGUACGGCCGCAAGGCUAAA
RNAcentral lists this ribosomal RNA (332 nucleotides) under uncultured bacterium. RNAcentral describes it as "bacterial SSU rRNA". It matches the Rfam family "Bacterial small subunit ribosomal RNA", at positions 568 to 898 of the family's 1533-position model. The record is from RNAcentral.